AGAGUUUGAUCCUGGCUCAGGACGAACGCUGGCGGCGUGCUUAACACAUGCAAGUGGUGCGACGAACCAGGCUUCGGCCUGGGGCAAAGCCGCGAACGGGUGAGUAACACGUGAGUAAUCUGCCCCGAUGACCGGGACAACCCGAGGAAACUCGGGCUAAUACCGGAUGAUGAGCCUUGGCCUAAGCCUUGUCUCUAAAG
RNAcentral lists this ribosomal RNA (200 nucleotides) under uncultured bacterium. Its description in RNAcentral is "partial 16S ribosomal RNA". It matches the Rfam family "Bacterial small subunit ribosomal RNA", at positions 8 to 206 of the family's 1533-position model. The record is from RNAcentral.